This 71-nucleotide transfer RNA is filed under the name Fistularia commersonii (bluespotted cornetfish). RNAcentral's name for it is "tRNA-Trp". It matches the Rfam family "tRNA". Rfam says of the family: Transfer RNA (tRNA) molecules are approximately 80 nucleotides in length. Their secondary structure includes four short double-helical elements and three loops (D, anti-codon, and T loops). The record is from RNAcentral. Lineage: Eukaryota; Metazoa; Chordata; Actinopteri; Syngnathiformes; Fistulariidae.
AGGGGCUUAGGUUAGAACUAGACCAAGGGCCUUCAAAGCCCUAAGCGAGGGUGAAAUUCCCCCAGCCCCUG